Long non-coding RNA from Micropterus salmoides (largemouth bass), 3150 nucleotides. RefSeq lists it as uncharacterized. Lineage: Eukaryota; Metazoa; Chordata; Actinopteri; Centrarchiformes; Centrarchidae. The transcript has 2 exons. The record is from RefSeq and is a predicted model, not a curated record.
CUUGACUUUAACCUUCGGUGGAUAACUAUGACCUGGAUGACUGAGAAUCUUCAUAGAUUAUUGUUUUGCUGAAGCUGAAACUGAGCUUGAGAGAUGUAUCAUGGCAGUGAUGUCAUCAAGGAAGAGGAGGAUCCUCUCCAGCCACCACGUAACAUUGGGAUUAUGAGUUGUCAUCAGUUCCAUAUGCAUGUGCCAUGUUGUUUGUCCUCAUUUAUGCUCUAAACUUGAGCUAUCUGAGUUAGGUAAAAUACACCUUUGAUGGACUGCAGAAAAUAUUCUUGGACAUAGAACCCAAGUUCAGACCCGAGUGUCAAGCUCUAAAUAAUGGAUUAAUCAAAGAAGACAUAUAGAUACAGGAUAUGUUUUAUUCUGUUAUAGCUUGUAUUAAAAAAUAUUACAGGAUAAUGGAAGGGGCCAAUGACUUAAAUAAGAGAGAAACAGACUUUGAUUCAAAACUGGCCUUUAUGAUUUUCUCUGUUAACAGCUGAUUCUGUGGUGUCAAUAUUGUGGUACUUCAACACUUAAAAUGUUUGUAUUUUAUUUUUUUCAGUAAAGGUGAUGCAUAGUUUUAAAAAAGACAACAUCAUCACCAUAAACAUUAAGGCUGUUUGAAGAGAAUAUUCAUGUCUUUUUUUUUUAAAGAAACAUAACUAAAUUAAGCAUUCACUGACAAAAUGUUUUUUGGUUUUAUCGGAACUAAAAGUAAAAGUAAUGUAAAAUUUAGAUUUUAUUUAUGGUGAAAUUUUGUGUUGAAUUACAAAUUUAAGUUGGCUAAAUUUGAUUAAAUUGCUUGUAACAAAUCACAGCACUUUAAUUAGUUUAGUCCUAAGUAAAAAAUUAUACGUGGAUGUUAUAUUAAAAAGUAGGUUAUGCCAAAAUAAAAAUUUGUUGUACCAAAGUAAAAAAAAUGAAUCAUGGUCUCUAUGUUAAGCAAUAGAUGAAAGCGAUGUAACCAUUAUAGUCAACCAUCAAAAUCAAGUAAUAUUUUGAUUGAAAUUAAAUUAAACUUAAAUUUAAAAAUUAAAAAUAUAGUUUGAGAAAAAGUAAUAAAUUUAGCUGUAACAAAUCACAGUAAUUUUUUUAGGUUGGUUCAAAGUAUAAUUUUUUUUGGUGCAGGAUGAUUGAAUGAAAUAUUUAUUGAUUGAUUAGACAUGCUUUUGAUAUUUAUUUUGGAUAAAUUGGUUUGUUAAUUGAGUAAUAGGGAGAAAAGAAUUUCUUUAGAAUACACCAAAUUAGUCGAUUUAUCUCAACAAAAGAAUCGUUAGAUUAAUCAAUUUGAAAAAUAAUGUACAGCCCUAUUCCAGAUUGUUGCAAUGGAUUUCAGUUUUAGUAAAAGAUCUCACAAAAAAGAGAUUUGUUACACUUUCUUAAGAAGAGGGGUACCUUUACCCAUAAUGCCACUGUGGCAAACAGUGGUGAUGGAUAAAUGGUUGCUUGUCAAAGACCUACUACAGUCAGACAAUCUAAUGACUUCCGUCACUGCAAGUUUUGUCAAGGGCUGUAUGCAAGAGAUAGUCUAUGGAGAGGUGAGAAAUUGCAAGUCUGUUGAGGGGGAGCCUCAAGUUGGGCAAAAACUUAUUCACAUUGACAUAACAAAACCUGAUACAUUACCAUGUAAACAUGUUGAAAAAGUCUUUUCAGGUUUUCUUAACAGUGAGCAGGACUAUUAAAUUCAUUCUUAUGUUUUAGUGUUUUAAUGUACACCUAUGCUUCUAAUGCAGACAACAGAUUUAACGUUACAGAUACACACCUUAUUUUGUGCAUUACUGAGUCUUUAUGAGUCAUAUAAAACUGAAAAUUUAAUGUGUAUCUAUGGCCUUCAGAAUUCACUUUAACAUGAAAUGUCUGUUUGUUGCUAUGGCCUCAUAAGUCACAAAAACCUAAACAUGUCCUCAUAUGUAACAUGAAAAUCAGGUCUGCCCAAAAUAUAGCCAUAGACCAAAUCUCAACAGAUGGAUCUAUUCCUUUAAGUAUUGGUGGAAAAUACUUUAAAUACCAGGUCUGGUGGACCUUGGGAAAGGCAUGUCCUGAUAUUUCAUGUUUUUGUCUUAAGUCCUGAUAUAUCAUGAAUACACGUGUUUGUGUGUGUGUGUGUGUGUGUGUGUGUGUGUUGGUUUUGCUAUACUUGUGAGGACCAACUAUUGAGAAACAACCUAUUUUGUGAGGACAUUGUUUUGUUGUGAGGACCACCCAGCAUUUUAAUUCUGAAAUAGCCUCCUGAGGGUAUAUACAUCAUGCUCUGUAAAUUUCAGCAAAAGUCCUCACAAGAAUAGUAAUUACGGAAAGUGGUGUUUUCCCAUGUGAUCGUGAGCUCCCCCUAUAGUACACACUUGUGUGCUGCAUCAGCCAUACUGGGAGGAGGAGUCUGAGGGAGAGGGAUUUUUCUGAUUGGAUGGCUCAUUGCCUAGCUGGGGGAUUUUUCUGAUUGGUCACUUCAGUCACAUGUCUACACUGUGGAGGGAAGUGCAGAUAGAGUUGCAGGGUGACUCACAGAGGCCUGUGAUCAGCCAAAUCUCAACCAUGAAAACCUAUUAACUCAAGUACAAACAUAGUAAUGACCAGUUCACACAAUUAAUGAUAUUAAAUAAACUUAUAAUUUACAUUAUCAUUAAACAAUUAAUUGAUCAUUAUUUAAUUUCUUAAGGGGAUAAUGAGCUUUUUACUUCUGCAGUGAACAGAAAUAAACAGGGGAAUAAAACUUAAAUUUAAAGUAUAAAAAUAGAUUUUAAUUUCCAAUUUAUGAGAAUUUGUACAUAAUGUGGGCAUCUUUACAUUUACUGUUAAUUUUGACAGUUUUUUAUUUAGUUAUUCUGUUGAAGUCUGAGUCUUAAGAGUUUUGAUUUGUGUAAAUUUGGAUUGGAAUAUGGAAUAUGAAGUGAAUAUUUAAUACACUAAUUAAUGUUUGAUUAGGAUUAAUUUGCUAAUUUGUUGGCCCAGUUGAGGAAACUUCAGUUUAAGGUUUAAAUGUAUACAAUCUAAGUAAUAAAGGUAAGGACAGCUGCAAAUGUUACCAGGUGAAACAGCCUACUGUCUGCUUUCUCUAUAUGCAAACAUUGUGUCUUGUUAGAAAGAAGGUAUUUUCUAGUAUUGGAUGUGAUUGUGUAGUUUUAUUUUUCUUUUGUGAUUAAAGUAUAAUGGUUACAUCACUUU